GGACCCGCACAAGCGGUGGAGCAUGUGGUUUAAUUCGAUGCAACGCGAAAAACCUUACCUACUCUUGACAUACUUGGGAGCUCUUGUAAUGAGAGUGUGCCUUAUGGAACCAAGAUACAGGUGCUGCAUGGCUGUCGUCAGCUCGUGUCGUGAGAUGUUCCGUUAAGUCGGAUAACGAGCGCAACCCUUACCCUUAUUUGCCAGCGAUUCGGUCGGGAACUAUAAGGGGACUGCCGGUGAUAAACCGGAGGAAGGUGAGGACGACGUCAAGUCAUCAUGGCCCUUACGAGUAGGGCUACACACGUGCUACAAUGGGGAAUACAGACGGACGCUAAGCCGCGAGGUGGUGCUAAUCCUAGAAAGUCUCUCGUAGUCCGAAUUGCAGUCUGGAACUCGACUGCAUG
This 404-nucleotide ribosomal RNA is filed under the name uncultured bacterium. RNAcentral describes it as "bacterial SSU rRNA". It matches the Rfam family "Bacterial small subunit ribosomal RNA", at positions 917 to 1322 of the family's 1533-position model. The record is from RNAcentral.